This 2439-nucleotide long non-coding RNA is filed under the name Canis lupus familiaris (dog). Its description in RNAcentral is "lncRNA (ENSCAFG00030003292.1)". Lineage: Eukaryota; Metazoa; Chordata; Mammalia; Carnivora; Canidae. The record is from RNAcentral.
CGUUACACCCUUUCUUGACAAAACCUAACUUGCGCAGAAACCGAGAUGAGAUUGGCAUGGCUUUAUUUGUUUUUUUGGCGCUUGACUCAGGAUUUAAAAACUGGAACGGAGAAGGUGACAGCAGUGGGUUGGAGCGAGCAUCCCCAAAGUUCUACAAUGUGGCCGAGGACUUUGAUUGUACAUUGUUCUUUUUUUUUUUUUUAAUAGUCAUUCCAAAUAUCGUGAGAUGCAUUGUUACAGGAAGUCCUUUGCCUUCCCAAAAGCCACCCCGUUUCUCCCUGCAGAGAAGGGCCUGUCCUCGCCCGAGUCCACACAGGGGAGGGAAAGAGAAUUGCUUUUGUGUAAAUCAUGUAGUCCAAAUUUUUUUUAAUCUGCGCCUUAAUACUUGUUCUUUUUGUUUUAUUUUGAAUGGUCUGCCAUCACGGCCCUUGUUUUUUGUCCCCCCAAUUGAAGAUUUAUGAAGGCUUUUGGUCUCCCUGGGAGUGGGGCUGAGGCAUGGAGGCAUCCAGGGCUUACCUGUACACUGACUUGAGACCAGUUCAAUAAAGUGCACACCUUAAAAACAAAAAAACAAAAAAACAAAAAAAAAAAAAACAGUUAAAUGGUGCUGGCUUUUUUUUUUUUUUUUUUUUUUUUUUUUUUUUUUUUGGUGCUAGCUUUAUAUCCAUAUCCUCAGAUGCUUCAAAUAGAAAAUUAGUUAAUUUCGGGGCACCUAGGUGGCUCAGUUAGUUAAACGACCAAUUCUUGGUUUGAGCUCAGGUCAUGAUCUCAUGGGUUGUGGGAUUAAGCCCCAUGUCUGGCUCCACACUCAGCUAGAAGAGUCUGCUUAAAGAUUCUCUCCCUCUCCUUCUACCCCUCUACCCUCCUGCCCUUCCCCCCACUUAAGCAUGCAUAGCUCACUCUCUAAAAUAAACAAAUAAAAUUCUCCCCAAAAUAAAUAAAUACAUAUUUUAAAAAAUAUUUUUGAAUUUAUUUUAGAGAGAGAGGGAGAGAGCAGGGGGAGGAGCAGAGGGGAAGAGAGAGGUAGAGGGAAAGAGAAUCUCAGCAGACAUAGCGCCAAGCACCAGCCCCACCCAAGCUUACCCAGUAACCAGACGAUCACCACCCAAGCUGAAACCAAGAGUCAGUGGCUUAACCAAUGGAGCCACCCAGGUGCCCCAAUAAAUAAAUCUUUCAAAAAAUUAGUUAAUUUCUAUAAUGGUUUAAAUUUUUCACCAAAUUAUUGGAAACAAAUCUGGAAAUUCAUUCUACUGAAGAUGAAACAUUGUAAUAAUAAUAAUUAUAGUUUAACAUUGUGACUAUUGCUGUAAAUUAAUUUAAAAAGUUUAAUAUUGAAGAUGAAAUUACUUUUAACAUAAUGCAAAUACAUUUUUUUUGUGCAGCACAAUGUUAAAACAAAACAAAAAUUUUUACUAAAUUGUGAAAUGUAUGGAGCUAAAUUGUGCUUGGAAUUGAUUGCAUCCAAAUAAGUUGUGAUAAUCUACUAAUUAAGAUAGAGCUUUUCCUGUCAAAUUUUAAACAAUUUUUCAUAAACACCAUUUGAGUAACUGAAAUAAAACAUUUGUCAUUAAGCUAAAGCUGGAUUAAGAAGAAAAAACAAUAACCCUGCUUGCUUUUUUUUAGCUGCCUACUAAUAAUGAGAUAUUAGAAAUGUUUGAAUCUAUAGACAAGAGUUGAUUGAAGCUUUCAGCAAUUUCAAAUUUAUUAAACAUAACCUGCAAUUUGGAAAAACAGUACAACUUUAUGAGAACAAUAAAAUUAUAAAGCCAUUAAUUCUUUAGAAAAAACCUUUGACAUUGUACUAAAGACAGAUAUGGUUAAGAAAUUGAUUGAAGUACUUGAUAUAUGAUGAAAAAUUAUUCUGCUUGUUAUUUUUAAUGUUCAGAAAAUCAAUAUAAAUAAAAUUUUCUUUCAUUGUGCCAUAAUGCUCAUGAAUAUGUUUUUUUUAAAGAAAAAAUUUACAGUUGAAAACAUUUUGAAUAGAACUAUUUUAUAAUUCCACCAAUUUAAUAAAACCAAACUUGUUGGUCAGUAAAUACAUAUUUCCAAAACUAUACAAUUGCAAUUAAAAAAAAAAACCUUUUACUUUAAAAAAUGCCACAGUUUGAAGGAUAAAUUGUAUGGUCAUUCUAGGGAUGGGAGUGAUCAGCCUCAGUGGAAAUCCCCAAGCUGAGUAUGAGAGAUGAGUGAUUCUCUGAAAGGCAUAAGGAGGGAAUGGAUGCCAGUAGACCAAUCAGAUUAUGUAUACAGCCUCCGCUUAUCUGAGGUUUUACUUUCCCUGGUUUCUGUUACCCACAGUCAACCACAGUCCAGAAGUAGAGAUCCUCCUUCUGACAUAUUGUCAAAAGAUCAGUAGUAACCUCACACUAUGUCACAUGCCUACAUCAUUCACCUCAUUUCAUCUCAUCAUGUGGGCAUUUUGUUAUCUCAACUAUUAUG